Molecule: ribosomal RNA, 253 nt
Filed under: uncultured bacterium
Lineage: Bacteria
Description: partial 16S ribosomal RNA
Rfam family: Bacterial small subunit ribosomal RNA
Source: RNAcentral
UACAGAGGCCCCAACCAUUACCCGGAAUCACUGGGCGUAAAGGGUGUCCAGGCGGUCGUGUUAGUCGUUUGUUAAAUCUCUGGGCCUAACCUAGAGACCGCGAGCGAAACGGCACGACUAGAGAGCGCGAGAGGUAGAGGGAACUCACGGUGGAGGGGUGAAAUCCGUUGAUAUCGUGGGGAACACCAAAGGCGAAGGCACUCUACUGGCGCGUUUCUGACGCUCACACACGAAAGCCAGGGGAGAGAACGGG